AUGAAUCCAGAUAUACAAGCAAAACUUGAUUCCACCAAGAUUCAGGUCCUGCCUCCUUCUACUGAACAAGAUGGGAAAGUAUCAUACAUGUGCCUCAUUGAGGAUUUUUACCCAAAUGUUAUUAAGGUGACUUGGGAAGAUGAGAAGAAGAAUGCAGAGAAAAAUGCAGUGCACAAGGAAAUUUGGCCCCCUGAUGACAAUCAACAAUCAUACUCAAUGAGCAGCUGGCUGACCAUAGAUAAAAAUAGCAACAAGAAUUAUCACUGCAACUAUCAACAUGAAAAAGAUACUGGUUCUGUCCCUAUCGAAUCUCAAGGACUUGCUCACUGUGAUACUUCUAGGGGCUAUAGCUUCAAAGUAUUUGGCUCUGGUACCAAGCUCAUUGUAACAGAUAUACAAGCAAAACUUGAUUCCACCAAGGCUCAGGCCCUGCCUCCUUCUACUGAACAAGAUGGGAAAGUAUCAUACAUGUGCCUCAUUGAGGAUUUUUACCCAAAUGUUAUUAAGGUGACUUGGGAAGACGACAAGAAGAAUGCAGAGAAAAAUGCAGUGCUCGAGGAAAUUUGGGCCUCUGAUGCCGAUCAACAAUCAUACUCAAUAAGCAGCUGGCUGACUGUAGAUAAAAAUAGCAACAAGAAUUAUCGCUGCAAAUAUCAACAUGAAAGCAAAGAGGGUUUUGUCCCCACCAAAUCUCCAGACACCGUUUCAGACACCACUGUAGCACCUCAAACCACGGGAGGUUGUAUCAAGAAUGCUGAGAAUGGCACCACGCUUUCCACAGAUAUUACAGACAGUUUCAUGCACAGGACGGCGUAUUUAAUAUACAUUGUCCUUCUCCUGAAAAGCACCAUGUACUACGUCAUCGUACUCUUCUUCAUGUACAGAAUGAAAAGUCCAAUCAAGCACCGGGGAAAGAAACCUUAAACUUCUCCGUACACCUUCCAGUGUCAGCAUUUCUGUCUCAAAUUUACUUUGCUUUGCCAUAAGCCUGUUCAUAUGAAACACCUUGCUCUAAAUAUUAAGACAUGCAUUGCAUUUGAUUUUGUUGGCUAUUUCUCCAAAUAGCACAGAUGGCUUCUUCUGCUUGAGAGCGAACAGUUUUAUAUGUGACCAUAUUUCCUAUUAUAUUAUUUUAAUUUUGUAACUGUGGAACUUCAAGGGCUGAGGCUACACUUCUUGAUUUUCAAUGGAAAUUUUGCAUCAUAAAGUAGUGCAGAAUCAGUCUCUUAGGCUCUUAUCCUGCAAAUACACUUGUGCACACAAAGAAAUUUUUGGAUGUGGAUAGGCCAACGGCAUUCAGUGACGUCAAUGGGAAAACUCGUCCCAUAAAUAUUUGCAGGGGUGGAGUACUCAUCUGUAAUUUAAAAUGAUUUGUCAUUUCAUUUCUACUAAUUACAUUUAUUUGCUUUAUAAAACAAAAACAGGCUUCUGAAAUAUGGCUAA
This is a non-coding RNA of Emys orbicularis (European pond turtle), 1443 nucleotides long. Lineage: Eukaryota; Metazoa; Chordata; Testudines; Emydidae. The record is from the annotation of a RefSeq genome assembly.